UUGGUGCUGAUUAGAGCGAGGGUCCACCCGUUCCCAUUCCGAACACGGUAGUUAAGCUCGUUUCUGCUCACAAUACUUGGCUGGUAACGGCCCGGGAAGACAGGUAGCGCCAACACAA
Molecule: ribosomal RNA, 118 nt
Filed under: Oscillibacter valericigenes Sjm18-20
Lineage: Bacteria; Bacillati; Bacillota; Clostridia; Eubacteriales; Oscillospiraceae
Source: RNAcentral